UGGGGAAUAUUGCGCAAUGGGGGAAACCCUGACGCAGCGACGCCGCGUUCGGGAUGAAGGCCUUGGGGUUGUAAACCGCUUUUGAUAGGGAGCAAGCUUUCGGGUGAGUGUACCUUUCGAAUAAGCGCCGGCUAACUACGUGCCAGCAGCCGCGGUAAUACGUAGGGCGCAAGCGUUAUCCGGAAUUAUUGGGCGUAAAGAGCUUGUAGGCGGUUCGUCGCGUCUGGUGUGAAAGCCCAUCGCUUAACGGUGGGUUUGCGCCGGGUACGGGCGGGCUAGAGUGCAGUAGGGGAGACUGGAAGUCCCGGUGUAACGGUGGAAUGUGUAGAUAUCGGGAAGAACACCAAUGGCGAAGGCAGGUCUCUGGGCUGUUACUGACGCUGAGAAGCGAAAGCGUGGGGAGCGAACAGG
RNAcentral lists this ribosomal RNA (411 nucleotides) under Verrucomicrobiota bacterium. RNAcentral describes it as "Verrucomicrobia bacterium partial 16S ribosomal RNA". It matches the Rfam family "Bacterial small subunit ribosomal RNA", at positions 355 to 776 of the family's 1533-position model. The record is from RNAcentral. Lineage: Bacteria; Pseudomonadati; Verrucomicrobiota.